This 449-nucleotide ribosomal RNA is filed under the name uncultured bacterium. Its description in RNAcentral is "bacterial SSU rRNA". It matches the Rfam family "Bacterial small subunit ribosomal RNA", at positions 917 to 1382 of the family's 1533-position model. The record is from RNAcentral.
GGACCCGCACAAGCGGUGGAGCAUGUGGUUUAAUUCGACGAUAAGCGAGGAACCUCACCAAGGUUUGACAUGUAGCUGCAAGGUCUGGAAACAGAUCCGCCUUCGAGGGUGCUACACAGAUGCUGCAUGGUUGUCGUCAGCUCGUGUCGUGAGAUGUACCGUUAAGUCGGGAAACGAGCGCAACCCUUUUCUUAUGUUUUAUAUGUCAUAAGAUACUGCCCGUUUUAAAUGGGAGGAAGGUGGGAUGACGUCAAAUCAGCAUGGUUCUUACACCUUGGGCAACACACGUGCUACAAUGGAAAGUACAAAGGGACGCCAAAUCGCGAGAUGGAGCAAAUCCCUAAAAACUUUUCUCAGUUCGGAUUGGAGUCUGCAACUCGACUCCAUGAAGCUGGAAUCGCUAGUAAUCGUGGAUCAGCUAUGCCACGGUGAAUACGUUCUCGGGUCUU